RNAcentral lists this ribosomal RNA (233 nucleotides) under uncultured bacterium. RNAcentral's name for it is "partial 16S ribosomal RNA". It matches the Rfam family "Bacterial small subunit ribosomal RNA", at positions 524 to 755 of the family's 1533-position model. The record is from RNAcentral.
UACGUAGGGUGCAAGCGUUGUCCGGAAUUAUUGGGCGUAAAGAGCUCGUAGGCGGUCUGUCGCGUCUGUUGUGAAAACUCGAGGCUCAACCUCGGGCUUGCAGUGGAUACGGGCAGACUAGAGUGCGGUAGGGGGAGACUGGAAUUCCUGGUGUAGCGGUGGAAUGCGCAGAUAUCAGGAGGAACACCGAUGGCGAAGGCAGGUCUCUGGGCCGCAACUGACGCUGAGGGAAG